Molecule: ribosomal RNA, 465 nt
Filed under: uncultured bacterium
Lineage: Bacteria
Description: partial 16S ribosomal RNA
Rfam family: Bacterial small subunit ribosomal RNA
Source: RNAcentral
GACGAACGCUGGCGGCGUGCUUAACACAUGCAAGUCGAGCGAGGCCCCUCCUUCGGGAGGGUGUCCUAGCGGCGAACGGGUGAGUAACACGUGGGCAACCUGCCCUCAGCUCUGGGAUAACUCCGGGAAACCGGGGCUAAUACCGGAUACGACCUCCACGGGCAUCUGCGGAAGUGGAAAGUUUUUCGGCUGAGGAUGGGCCCGCGGCCUAUCAGCUAGUUGGUGGGGUAGUGGCCCACCAAGGCGACGACGGGUAGCCGGCCUGAGAGGGCGACCGGCCACACUGGGACUGAGACACGGCCCAGACUCCUACGGGAGGCAGCAGUGGGGAAUAUUGCGCAAUGGGCGAAAGCCUGACGCAGCGACGCCGCGUGAGGGACGAAGGCCUUCGGGUUGUAAACCUCUUUCAGCAGGGACGAAGCGAAAGUGACGGUACCUGCAGAAGAAGCACCGGCCAACUACGUG